Molecule: long non-coding RNA, 4061 nt
Organism: Lagenorhynchus albirostris (white-beaked dolphin)
Lineage: Eukaryota; Metazoa; Chordata; Mammalia; Artiodactyla; Delphinidae
Exons: 3
Source: RefSeq, a predicted model, not a curated record
AGCGACUGUAGUCCCGGAGCCGGGGACCCGCGCCCUCGCGAGAGCAGAACAGAGAAAAGCGAUAUGUGUUUCGCUUGGCAGGAAAACACUUGCUUUCAAGACUACACUUCCAAAAUGCACGAGUGUCUGGGCUGUGCAGCAAGCCGGCCUUAGUUUUUCCCUCUUAACGCGGUAGCACGUACUUGAGAACAAAAAAAAGCAGCCCCUGACAUCCAGGAACUGGCCUGACACUUACAGGAACAUGAACUGAAUGUCUACCAUGUGUGGGUGCUGGGACUUGAAUUGUGAUCAAGCUACAAUCCCUGACUACUCUACAAGAGGUUCCAGUCUGGAGGAGGUAAGCACUUGGAGAUGUAAGGAGUGCAAAGCACAGCAUGUGCACGACGCCAGGGCAGUGUAGGGGAAGGGUUACUUCCCUUCGUGGGGCAUCAGAAGACUCCCCAGAGGGAGAGGUGUUUAAACAGAUUUCAAGAGAAAGUGGGAAUUGGUCCUACCAAACACAUCUGUGCCCCAACAAGAUGGCAUGAAGAGCCAGAGACAUUCACAGAACCCAGGCAUCCAACCUCCCCCCUACCCCCUCAUCCCUGCUCUGGGGGACCCUAAUGGGUGGUCUCUCUGUCCUUGAUUCUCCCUCUGAGUGUGAAGAAGGCAGGAAUUGCCCAAGACUCGAAUGGUAAAUGUGAGUGGGGAGAUGGAUAGAGACUUUAUUUUCUGGUCAGGGGCUGCAGUCUGCUCAUUUUCCAUCCUUUUCCCCAAAUUUCUGGUCAUUUAGUUUGAAUUCCUUUUUUUUUGCGGUACGCAGGCCUCUCACUGUUGUGGCCUCUCCCGUUGCGGAGCACAGGCUCCGGACGCGCAGGCUCAGUGGCCAUGGCUCAUGGGCCCAGCCGCUCUGCGGCAUGUGGGAUCCUCCCGGACUGGGGCACGAACCCGUGUCCCCUGCAUCGGCAGGCGGACUCUCAACCACUGCGCCACCAGGGAAGCCCUAGUUUGAAUUCUUUACUUCUCUCUCAAGCUGUAACCCAGACCAUGUACCUGCUCAUCUGUCAGGAGAGCAGGAGGGGCACAGAGGAUCCUAUUCAAGGCCCAGGUUCUCCAAAGGAGUUAAACUUGUAAGAAGAAAUUAAACAGAUUUGAUCUUGUUAGUUUAUUGAAUAAAUCAAUUCUGGGUAAAGAAAAAACAGAACUAGCUUUGGGGACAGAGGCUGGGGAAGUGAGCGACCCCCCGGCCCCUGUGGUGCGGGCAGAGGGGUCACUUGUAAAACUCAUGCUCCUGUUCGUCCUUCUUGAUGACUGUCUUGUAUGCUUUCUCGAAGUCCUUGGCCAGAACAAUGUAGCGGUUCUCUCGGACAGCCAACAUCCCGCUCUGUUGAGGGAUGACAGUUAAAAUCUACUCCCUGCACUCCCCGCCCCUAAUGAUGGUGCAGGAAGAGACAGACGCAGCCUAAGACCCAGGGAGGCAAUGAUGGACAGGACUGCAGCAGAGUGGAGGGUCUUCACACACCCGCUGCCCAAUCUAGAGAGAAACCAGCACUCACCUCCUGACAGAUGGAGUUGAUAUCAGCUCCUGAAAUCUUAUCUGGUCGGGCCACAUCUAUGGCAGGUGAGUUAAGGAAACCACUCCAUGCAUGACUGGGUGAAUGCUUGGAGCCAGAAGUCGUUCUUGGGCUGUCUUUGUCACCAUCCCCCUCCCCAGACCCUGGUCUCCCACCUGCACAGUCUGGGUGGUGGUGAUGGCAGAGGUGGAGAUCUAAUCCCCAUUCUCAGCGGUGACCCUCCCCUCGCUUCUAGAGCAGGAUACAAUCUUCCAAGUCAACCUCCUCAGAGAGGUUCAUCUUGCUGGUGAUAGUGGAGAAAAUCAAUCUCUUCUGGCGGCGGUCAGGGAGUGGAAAUUCAAUUUUACGGUCAAGGCGUCCCGGCCGCAGCAGAGCAGGAUCCAGGGUGUCUGCUCUGUUUGUGGCCAUGAUCACCUGGCAUCGGGGACAGGCCAGCUCAGACCUCUGUCCCCACUAUACUCCAUCCUGUCGCAAUACCUAUCUCCUCACAUGCCAGCCUCCAUCCUUCCCUGAUUCCCACACCACACCUCCCCUCGCCCAUCCUGAACCCCAAACCUUGACGUUGACGUUCUGGUCGAAUCCAUCCAUUUGAUUCAGUAGCUCCAGCAAGAUUCUCUGAACCUCCCUGUCAGCUGGAUAGUAUAUAACACCGUCAGUCCAGGGCAUCCCGCAUGACAAGCCUGCCCAAGACCCCAGGCCCUGGGACUUCCCUGGUGGCACACUGGUUAAUAAUCCACCUGCCAGUGCAGAGGACACGGGUUCAAGCCCCGGUCCAGGGAGAUCUCACAUGCCGCGGAGCAACUAAGCCCGUGCGCCACAACUGAGCCUGCGCUCUAGGGCCCGCGAGUCACAACUACUGAGCCCACACGCUGCAACUACUGAAGCCUGUGCGCCUAGAACCAGUGCUGUGCAAUGCAGCAAGAGAAGCCUCUGCAAUGAGAAGCCUGGGCACCACAACGAAGAGUAGCCCCUGCUCGCUGCAGCUAGAGAAAGCCCACACGCAGUAACGAAGACCCAACACAGCCAAAAAAAUAAAAUAAAUAAAGUCAUUAAAAAAAAAAGACCCCAGGCUCUGUUUGGGCAUCACUCACCCCCUGUCUGGGCAUCGAAUCUCUUGGUUGCGAUGGCAUCAAUCUCAUCUAUGAAGAUGAUGGCAGGUGCGUUCUCCUUGGCCAGGCGGAACACGUCCCGGACCAUGCGAGGGCCCUCACCCAGGUACUUCUGUACAAACUCUGAGCCCACAACUCGGAUGAAUGCAGCUGAUGGCAGGAUGACAGGGGUUAGACGAGAAUGGAACACCUGUAGGGCCCCAUAAUACUUUAACUGAAACUGAGAAUUCCUUGAGGACAUCCUUUUCUUUGGAUACCCACUCCAAGUAGCCAGGUCAUUCUCUCAUGACCUGGGCUGGGUUCCAGAUCCAGCUAGGCGGACCAGCUUGUACUCCACAGAGACCCAGCAGCACAAAUCAUGAAUCCUGCCUAUGGAUGUGUCAUUUUUUGGCCCAACAUUUAGAAAUCAGGGUAUUAAAAAAAAAUGUGUCUGUGCUUCGACAUACCGACAAAGAAGAGCUAGAGACAUGCAUGGAAUCCGGCAUACCAAAAAAUGUGAAUUUCCGGAGUGCUUGAAAAAUCAGUAAGAAAACAGGUUUUCCAUACACAGGCAUCAUGCUGCCUUACCAAGGGCUCAAAGGACCCCUUUUGAAUAUCAUGCAAGAGUCAAGAACCAGGAACACAUAUUCUGAUAUAAUCAACAAGUGGCAAUGGGGUUAAAGACAGGUUCUGGGCUUGCCUCUCCUUUCCAUCUUUUCUUAGAGUUUAACUUGUUUGUUAGUGACUGGAUGUGGCUUUGUGUUGCACGGAGCAACCUCCAGGACACUCCUUCCAGCCACCACAGAGAAAGGAGACACAAAGUCCAUUAUGUAGAUCUGGUCAUAAACUAGGAGUUGUGCAAGUUGCAGCCCUGUCCCUCUCUAAUGUGGUGGCCACUGGCGGCAAGGGGCUACUGAGCAGCCGCAGUGUGGCUGGUCCCAAAUGAGAUGUGCUGUAAAUGUGAAAUACACACCAGACUUCAAAAGACAGUACAAAAAAAGUAGAAUAUCUCAAUAAAUGUCCAUCAACAAAUGAAUAGAUAAAGGGUGCUAUAUACAUACAAUAGAAUAUUAUUUGGCUUUCAAAAGGAAGUAAGUUCUGACAUGUUUCAACAUGGGUAAAGCCCCAAAGACAUUAUGCUCAGGGAAAUAAGCCAGCCACAAAAAGACAAAUACUCUAUGAUUCAUCCAUGUAUAUGAGGUGCCCAGAAUAGGCAAAUUCAUAGAGACUGAAAGUAGAACAGAGGUUAUCAGGGGCUGCGGGGAGGGAGAAAUAGGGAAUGAUUGUCUAAUGGGUAUGGAGUUACAGUUCGGAUGAUGAACAAGUCCCAGAAGUGGACAGUGGUGAUGGCUGUACAACACUGUGAAUCCACUUGAUGCCACUUAUAAACUGUAUAUUUAUAAAGUGGUUAAAAUGGUAA